This 528-nucleotide ribosomal RNA is filed under the name Haemophilus influenzae. RNAcentral describes it as "bacterial SSU rRNA". It matches the Rfam family "Bacterial small subunit ribosomal RNA", at positions 459 to 988 of the family's 1533-position model. Lineage: Bacteria; Pseudomonadati; Pseudomonadota; Gammaproteobacteria; Pasteurellales; Pasteurellaceae. The record is from RNAcentral.
GCACAUCAAAUUGACGUUAAAUACAGAAGAAGCACCGGCUAACUCCGUGCCAGCAGCCGCGGUAAUACGGAGGGUGCGAGCGUUAAUCGGAAUAACUGGGCGUAAAGGGCACGCAGGCGGUUAUUUAAGUGAGGUGUGAAAGCCCUGGGCUUAACCUAGGAAUUGCAUUUCAGACUGGGUAACUAGAGUACUUUAGGGAGGGGUAGAAUUCCACGUGUAGCGGUGAAAUGCGUAGAGAUGUGGAGGAAUACCGAAGGCGAAGGCAGCCCCUUGGGAAUGUACUGACGCUCAUGUGCGAAAGCGUGGGGAGCAAACAGGAUUAGAUACCCUGGUAGUCCACGCUGUAAACGCUGUCGAUUUGGGGGUUGGGGUUUAACUUUGGCGCCCGUAGCUAACGUGAUAAAUCGACCGCCUGGGGAGUACGGCCGCAAGGUUAAAACUCAAAUGAAUUGACGGGGGCCCGCACAAGCGGUGGAGCAUGUGGUUUAAUUCGAUGCAACGCGAAGAACCUUACCUACUCUUGACAUC